RNAcentral lists this ribosomal RNA (2924 nucleotides) under Klebsiella quasipneumoniae. RNAcentral's name for it is "23S ribosomal RNA". It matches the Rfam family "Bacterial large subunit ribosomal RNA". The record is from RNAcentral. Lineage: Bacteria; Pseudomonadati; Pseudomonadota; Gammaproteobacteria; Enterobacterales; Enterobacteriaceae.
GGGUUGUGAGGUUAAGCGACUAAGCGUACACGGUGGAUGCCCUGGCAGUCAGAGGCGAUGAAGGACGUGCUAAUCUGCGAAAAGCGUCGGUAAGGUGAUAUGAACCGUUAUAACCGGCGAUGUCCGAAUGGGGAAACCCAGUGUGAUUCGUCACACUAUCGUUAACUGAAUACAUAGGUUAACGAGGCGAACCGGGGGAACUGAAACAUCUAAGUACCCCGAGGAAAAGAAAUCAACCGAGAUUCCCCCAGUAGCGGCGAGCGAACGGGGAGCAGCCCAGAGUCUGAAUCAGCUUGUGUGUUAGUGGAACGGUCUGGAAAGUCCGACGGUACAGGGUGAUAGUCCCGUACACCAAAAUGCACAGGUUGUGAACUCGAAGAGUAGGGCGGGACACGUGGUAUCCUGUCUGAAUAUGGGGGGACCAUCCUCCAAGGCUAAAUACUCCUGACUGACCGAUAGUGAACCAGUACCGUGAGGGAAAGGCGAAAAGAACCCCGGCGAGGGGAGUGAAAAAGAACCUGAAACCGUGUACGUACAAGCAGUGGGAGCACCUUUAUGGUGUGACUGCGUACCUUUUGUAUAAUGGGUCAGCGACUUAUAUUCUGUAGCAAGGUUAACCGUAUAGGGGAGCCGCAGGGAAACCGAGUCUUAACUGGGCGUUAAGUUGCAGGGUAUAGACCCGAAACCCGGUGAUCUAGCCAUGGGCAGGUUGAAGGUUGGGUAACACUAACUGGAGGACCGAACCGACUAAUGUUGAAAAAUUAGCGGAUGACUUGUGGCUGGGGGUGAAAGGCCAAUCAAACCGGGAGAUAGCUGGUUCUCCCCGAAAGCUAUUUAGGUAGCGCCUCGUGAACUCAUCUUCGGGGGUAGAGCACUGUUUCGGCUAGGGGGUCAUCCCGACUUACCAACCCGAUGCAAACUACGAAUACCGAAGAAUGUUAUCACGGGAGACACACGGCGGGUGCUAACGUCCGUCGUGAAGAGGGAAACAACCCAGACCGCCAGCUAAGGUCCCAAAGUCAUGGUUAAGUGGGAAACGAUGUGGGAAGGCACAGACAGCCAGGAUGUUGGCUUAGAAGCAGCCAUCAUUUAAAGAAAGCGUAAUAGCUCACUGGUCGAGUCGGCCUGCGCGGAAGAUGUAACGGGGCUAAACCAUGCACCGAAGCUGCGGCAGCGACACUAUGUGUUGUUGGGUAGGGGAGCGUUCUGUAAGCCUGCGAAGGUGACCUGUGAGGGUUGCUGGAGGUAUCAGAAGUGCGAAUGCUGACAUAAGUAACGAUAAAGCGGGUGAAAAGCCCGCUCGCCGGAAGACCAAGGGUUCCUGUCCAACGUUAAUCGGGGCAGGGUGAGUCGACCCCUAAGGCGAGGCCGAAAGGCGUAGUCGAUGGGAAACAGGUUAAUAUUCCUGUACUUGGUGUUACUGCGAAGGGGGGACGGAGAAGGCUAUGUUAGCCGGGCGACGGUUGUCCCGGUUUAAGCAUGUAGGCUGAUUAUCCAGGCAAAUCCGGAUAAUCAAGGCUGAGGUGUGAUGACGAGGCACUACGGUGCUGAAGUAACAAAUGCCCUGCUUCCAGGAAAAGCCUCUAAGCAUCAGGUAACAUCAAAUCGUACCCCAAACCGACACAGGUGGUCAGGUAGAGAAUACCAAGGCGCUUGAGAGAACUCGGGUGAAGGAACUAGGCAAAAUGGUGCCGUAACUUCGGGAGAAGGCACGCUGGUGUGUAGGUGAAGUCCCUGCGGAUGGAGCUGAGACCAGUCGAAGAUACCAGCUGGCUGCAACUGUUUAUUAAAAACACAGCACUGUGCAAACACGAAAGUGGACGUAUACGGUGUGACGCCUGCCCGGUGCCGGAAGGUUAAUUGAUGGGGUUAUCCGUAAGGAGAAGCUCUUGAUCGAAGCCCCGGUAAACGGCGGCCGUAACUAUAACGGUCCUAAGGUAGCGAAAUUCCUUGUCGGGUAAGUUCCGACCUGCACGAAUGGCGUAAUGAUGGCCAGGCUGUCUCCACCCGAGACUCAGUGAAAUUGAACUCGCUGUGAAGAUGCAGUGUACCCGCGGCAAGACGGAAAGACCCCGUGAACCUUUACUAUAGCUUGACACUGAACAUUGAGCCUUGAUGUGUAGGAUAGGUGGGAGGCUUUGAAGCGUGGACGCCAGUCUGCGUGGAGCCAACCUUGAAAUACCACCCUUUAAUGUUUGAUGUUCUAACGUUGGCCCCUAAUCGGGGUUGCGGACAGUGUCUGGUGGGUAGUUUGACUGGGGCGGUCUCCUCCCAAAGCGUAACGGAGGAGCACGAAGGUUAGCUAAUCCUGGUCGGACAUCAGGAGGUUAGUGCAAUGGCAUAAGCUAGCUUGACUGCGAGCGUGACGGCGCGAGCAGGUGCGAAAGCAGGUCAUAGUGAUCCGGUGGUUCUGAAUGGAAGGGCCAUCGCUCAACGGAUAAAAGGUACUCCGGGGAUAACAGGCUGAUACCGCCCAAGAGUUCAUAUCGACGGCGGUGUUUGGCACCUCGAUGUCGGCUCAUCACAUCCUGGGGCUGAAGUAGGUCCCAAGGGUAUGGCUGUUCGCCAUUUAAAGUGGUACGCGAGCUGGGUUUAGAACGUCGUGAGACAGUUCGGUCCCUAUCUGCCGUGGGCGCUGGAGAAUUGAGGGGGGCUGCUCCUAGUACGAGAGGACCGGAGUGGACGCAUCACUGGUGUUCGGGUUGUCAUGCCAAUGGCACUGCCCGGUAGCUAAAUGCGGAAGAGAUAAGUGCUGAAAGCAUCUAAGCACGAAACUUGCCCCGAGAUGAGUUCUCCCUGAGACUUUAAGUCUCCUGAAGGAACGUUAAAGACGAUGACGUUGAUAGGCCGGGUGUGUAAGCGCAGCGAUGCGUUGAGCUAACCGGUACUAAUGAACCGUGAGGCUUAACCUUACAACGCCGAAG